AACAAACGCUGGCGGCGUGCCUAAUACAUGCAAGUCGAACGGGGAAAGCUUUCGGGUGAGUACUAGUGGCGCACGGGUGAGGAACGCGUGGAUAAUCUGCCUUAGAGUGGGGGAUAACUAGUCGAAAGAUUAGCUAAUACCUCAUAAGACCACGAGAGCUGCGGCUUUUGAGGUCAAAGGUUUUUCGCUCUAAGAUGAGUCCGCGUAAGAUUAGCUAGUUGGUGAGGUAACGGCUCACCAAGGCGACGAUCUUUAACUGGUCUGAGAGGAUGAUCAGUCACACUGGAACUGAGACACGGUCCAGACUCCUACGGGAGGCAGCAGUAGGGAAUAUUGCACAAUGGAGGAAACUCUGAUGCAGCGACGCCGCGUGAGGGAUGAAGGCCUUCGGGUCGUAAAGCUCUGUCGCAGGGGAAUAACACAAUGAAGGUACCCUGUAAGAAAGGAUCGGCUAACUUCGUG
RNAcentral lists this ribosomal RNA (462 nucleotides) under uncultured bacterium. RNAcentral's name for it is "partial 16S ribosomal RNA". It matches the Rfam family "Bacterial small subunit ribosomal RNA", at positions 29 to 507 of the family's 1533-position model. The record is from RNAcentral.